Molecule: non-coding RNA, 75 nt
Organism: Pangasianodon gigas (Mekong giant catfish)
Lineage: Eukaryota; Metazoa; Chordata; Actinopteri; Siluriformes; Pangasiidae
Source: the annotation of a GenBank genome assembly
GCAGUGGUGGCUCAGUGGUUACGGCAUUUAGUUAUAGAUCGGAAGGUCAUGAGUUCAAAUCCCAGCACCACUGAG